CGCGUGCAGGAAGACUGCCCUAUGGGUUGUAAACUGCUUUUAUACGGGAAGAAACCGAUCCACGUGUNNNNNNCUGACGGUACUGUAAGAAUAAGGAUCGGCUAACUCCGUGCCAGCAGCCGCGGUAAUACGGAGGAUCCAAGCGUUAUCCGGAAUCAUUGGGUUUAAAGGGUCCGUAGGUGGAUAAUUAAGUCAGAGGUGAAAGUCUGCGGCUCAACUGUAGAAUUGCCCUUGAUACUGGUUAUCUUGAAUUAUUGUGAAGUGGUUAGAAUAUGUAGUGUAGCGGUGAAAUGCAUAGAUAUUACAUAGAAUACCAAUUGCGAAGGCAGAUCACUAACAAUAUAUUGACACUGAUGGACGAAAGCGUGGGGAGCGAACAGGAUUAGAUACCCUGGUAGUCCACU
Molecule: ribosomal RNA, 404 nt
Filed under: Winogradskyella sp. Asnod2C06
Lineage: Bacteria; Pseudomonadati; Bacteroidota; Flavobacteriia; Flavobacteriales; Flavobacteriaceae
Description: bacterial SSU rRNA
Rfam family: Bacterial small subunit ribosomal RNA
Source: RNAcentral